This 72-nucleotide transfer RNA is filed under the name Camelus bactrianus (Bactrian camel). It matches the Rfam family "tRNA". From Rfam's summary of the family: Transfer RNA (tRNA) molecules are approximately 80 nucleotides in length. Their secondary structure includes four short double-helical elements and three loops (D, anti-codon, and T loops). Further hydrogen bonds mediate the characteristic L-shaped molecular structure. tRNAs have two regions of fundamental functional importance: the anti-codon, which is responsible for specific mRNA codon recognition, and the 3' end, to which the tRNAs corresponding amino acid is attached (by aminoacyl-tRNA synthetases). tRNAs cope with the degeneracy of the genetic code in two manners: having more than one tRNA (with a specific anti-codon) for a particular amino acid; and 'wobble' base-pairing, i.e. permitting non-standard base-pairing at the 3rd anti-codon position. Lineage: Eukaryota; Metazoa; Chordata; Mammalia; Artiodactyla; Camelidae. RNAcentral also lists the same sequence under 2 other names. The record is from Rfam by way of RNAcentral.
GAGGGUGUAGCUCAGUGGUAGAGUGUGUGCUUAGCAUGCACGAGGUCCUGGGUUCAAUCCUCAGCACCUCCG